This 254-nucleotide ribosomal RNA is filed under the name uncultured bacterium. RNAcentral's name for it is "partial 16S ribosomal RNA". It matches the Rfam family "Bacterial small subunit ribosomal RNA", at positions 524 to 776 of the family's 1533-position model. The record is from RNAcentral.
UACGUAGGGGGCGAGCGUUGUCCGGAAUCAUUGGGCGUAAAGCGCGUGUAGGCGGCCCGGUAAGUCCGCUGUGAAAGUCCAGGGCUCAACCCUGGGAUGCCGGUGGAUACUGUCGGGCUCGAGUCCGGAAGAGGCGAGUGGAAUUCCUGGUGUAGCGGUGAAAUGCGCAGAUAUCAGGAGGAACACCGGUGGCGAAGGCGGGUCUCUGGGCCGAUGACUGACGCUGAGGAGCGAAAGCGUGGGGAGCGAACAGG